RNAcentral lists this ribosomal RNA (502 nucleotides) under uncultured bacterium. RNAcentral's name for it is "bacterial SSU rRNA". It matches the Rfam family "Bacterial small subunit ribosomal RNA", at positions 26 to 518 of the family's 1533-position model. The record is from RNAcentral.
AGAACGAACGCUGGCGGCGCGUCUAAGCAUGCAAGCGAACGGCAAGAGGUAGCAAUACCUCCUAGAGUGGCGGACUGGUGAGUAACACGUGGGUGACAUACCCUUCAGAUGGGGAUAGCUAUUAGAAAUAGUAGAUAAUACCGAAUACGAGCACAGGGGUUAGAGAUCUGUGAGGAAAGGAGCUAAGGCUCCGCUGAAGGAAUGGCCUGCGGCCCAUUAGCUAGUUGGUGAGGUAAGAGCCCACCAAGGCGAUGAUGGGUAUCCGGCCUUAGAGGGUGAACGGACACAUUGGGACUGAGAUACCGGCCCAGACUCCUACGGGAGGCAGCAGCUAAGAAUAUUCCGCAAUGGACGAAAGUCUGACGGAGCGACGCCGCGUGGAUGAAGAAGGCCGGAAGGUUGUAAAAUCCUUUUGAAACUGAAGAAUAAGCGUUGUAGGGAAUGACAGCGUGGUGACAGUAGGUUUUGAAUAAGCAACGGCUAAUUACGUGCCAGCCGCGGC